Molecule: ribosomal RNA, 398 nt
Filed under: uncultured bacterium
Lineage: Bacteria
Description: bacterial SSU rRNA
Rfam family: Bacterial small subunit ribosomal RNA
Source: RNAcentral
CUGGGCUUGACAUGUGGGAUGAAACCGUAGAGAUACGGCGCUCCUCGGAGCCCGCACAGGUGGUGCAUGGCUGUCGUCAGCUCGUGCCGUGAGGUGUUGCCUUAAGUGGCGCAACGAGCGCAACCCCUGUCCUUAGUUGCCAGCGGGUCAAGCCGGGAACUCUAGGGAGACUGCCGGUGCCAAACCGGAGGAAGGUGGGGAUGAGGUCAAGUCAUCAUGCCCCUUAUGUCCAGGGCUGCACACAUGCUACAAUGCGCGAUACAGAGGGUUGCGAUCCCGCAAGGGGGAGCGAAUCCCAAAAAGUCGCGCUCAGUUCGGAUCGGGGUCUGCAACUCGACCCCGUGAAGUCGGAGUCGCUAGUAAUCGCAGAUCAGCAAUGCUGCGGUGAAUACGUUCCC